RNAcentral lists this unclassified non-coding RNA (378 nucleotides) under uncultured Micrococcales bacterium. RNAcentral's name for it is "contains 16S-23S intergenic spacer region". The record is from RNAcentral. Lineage: Bacteria; Bacillati; Actinomycetota; Actinomycetes; Micrococcales.
UCCGAGUUGACCCCGGCAGUCUCCUGCGAGUCCCCGCCAUUACGCGCUGGCAACAUAGAACGAGGGUUGCGCUCGUUGCGGGACUUAACCCAACAUCUCACGACACGAGCUGACGACAACCAUGCACCACCUGUGAACCGACCCCAAAGGGGGAACCACAUUUCUGCGGCGGUCCGGUCCAUGUCAAGCCUUGGUAAGGUUCUUCGCGUUGCAUCGAAUUAAUCCGCAUGCUCCGCCGCUUGUGCGGGCCCCCGUCAAUUCCUUUGAGUUUUAGCCUUGCGGCCGUACUCCCCAGGCGGAGAACUUAGCGCGUUAGCUACGACACUGGAGGGCUUACCCCUUCAACGUCUAGUUCUCAUCGUUUAUGGCGUGGACUAC